RNAcentral lists this ribosomal RNA (486 nucleotides) under uncultured bacterium. Its description in RNAcentral is "partial 16S ribosomal RNA". It matches the Rfam family "Bacterial small subunit ribosomal RNA", at positions 30 to 507 of the family's 1533-position model. The record is from RNAcentral.
AUUGAACGCUGGCGGCAUGCCUUACACAUGCAAGUCGAACGGCAGCACGGGUGCUUGCACCUGGUGGCGAGUGGCGAACGGGUGAGUAAUACAUCGGAACAUGUCCUGUAGUGGGGGAUAGCCCGGCGAAAGCCGGAUUAAUACCGCAUACGAUCCACGGAUGAAAGCGGGGGACCUUCGGGCCUCGCGCUAUAGGGUUGGCCGAUGGCUGAUUAGCUAGUUGGUGGGGUAAAGGCCUACCAAGGCGACGAUCAGUAGCUGGUCUGAGAGGACGACCAGCCACACUGGGACUGAGACACGGCCCAGACUCCUACGGGAGGCAGCAGUGGGGAAUUUUGGACAAUGGGCGAAAGCCUGAUCCAGCAAUGCCGCGUGUGUGAAGAAGGCCUUCGGGUUGUAAAGCACUUUUGUCCGGAAAGAAAUACUUGGCUCUAAUACAGUCGGGGGAUGACGGUACCGGAAGAAUAAGCACCGGCUAACUACGUG